This is a long non-coding RNA of Octodon degus (degu), 4052 nucleotides long. RefSeq lists it as uncharacterized. The transcript has 3 exons. Lineage: Eukaryota; Metazoa; Chordata; Mammalia; Rodentia; Octodontidae. The record is from RefSeq and is a predicted model, not a curated record.
UCUGAGCAUUAUUUUAAAUCAUCUGAGUGUCUGUCUUAUUUACAUUCCACUGUGAAAAAUCAAUUGAACCUUUAUCAUGGUGUAAGGAAAGAAGGAAACAGGAACGGGUAACCCGCUUCUCUGAUAACAAUAGGAAUUUAAGUGUGAUCGUGGGAUCCACUCAGACCUCCGCUCCUUUUCCCUGAGACACGUGUAAGCUGUCCACUCCCUCCCUAGCAUGGUCCAGGUUCUCAAGCUUGCACCACUGGAGGCUUCACUCAGUUUCACCUGAUCCUAACAAUUGUCAGAGUGGACGUCUGCACCCUAACCCACAGCCUGACUCCAAGGCACCCUGAUAUGGCAUGCCAGGCCAGAGGCAUCUGCUCUGAAAUUGCUGAGCGAACCAGGAGAGCCGCUGCUUUCCUGAGACCAUCUGCAAACCAAGAGAGCUGGUCAGCGAAGCCAAGUUGGUCGCCUGCUUCAGGGACCAUCCAAGAGGAGGUCUCUUUUGCUGGGAAGUUCUGUUUUGCAAGGUAGCAGAGCAGGAACAAGAUCAAAGUCUAAGGAAGGACAGGAUCGCUUCUACCACCCGCCCAGGAAGUCUGACCACCGAGCCGUCUCAGAAUGCCCACAGCGGGUCCCCACAAGUCGCCGACUUGGGCACCUCCAAGCCCAUCCUAUGAACGGAGUAACUGUCCACCGCAGACAGACCAAACGUUCCUCCCGAAGUUCGCUCCCAGCCAAAGAACGGUGCAUUCCCUCAUCAGCUAGCUCCCCUCUGCUCCCCACAGGUUCCUUGGCUGUCCUGCUCCUCACCGGAAAGCGUGUGAGCACACACGCCCGUGCACACGCCCACCGCCCGUCUGCAGAGUCGGGCCAGCGAUCGACCCCGACGGAGCUCGGCACCCAGGGCGCAGGAGGAAGCCGGGCGCGCCCAGCUCCUCCCCGGCUCACGCAGCUAGGACGCCGGCGCCCCGCCGAAGGAUUUCUUUUUUCUUUUUCUUUUUUUUUUUUUUUUACUGUUGGGACAGCGAGCCCCAAGAAGAGAAGGUACAGCUUUCCCAGAGAAGGCAAGAGGUGUUCUGCCAAAAGCAGCUGCUUCUCUGGUCUCAGGGUGAGGAGAGGAGGAAACGUCAGAGUGGUUGGAGAGCUACUGUGCACAGCCCCUGUUGGGAGCACUGCCGGACCACAGCUCAGCUAGAACAGCAGGAGGACUUCUUGGAGCAGGUGAUUGUUGGCAUAGCUGGAGAAAGACGCUGGGACAGAGAAAUCCUCCUAAGAAAGAGGGGCCCGGCCAUCCUGAACAGCUGCUGACCUGGAUGAUUUACUUUUCUCAUGGCCUAACGGCCAGGAAAGAGAGGAGUAGGGAAACCAGUGGAAGGAGAACCUGGAGCUGCGAUACACGCCUGGAUUGCCACCGUGGGUUGCUGGUGGGAAGGAGAGAAAAGCCCAAGAAAUAGAGAACAGAGAAGGCAUCCAUGUGGAAGUGAGGGAGACAUUGGUGGCAACUAAGAUCUGGCCCGUGCAAUCAGCAUGCCCACUCUUGACAGAACGUAGCCAAAGGAGGAAGGGUGGGGUAGGGGAGAGAAGGUGGGGUCACAAAGGGCUUGUUCAGAUGGCCUGGACAGUAGGUAGAUGAUCACCAUAGUAGGCCCUGAGCUUGGUGACUGCUCAUGGAGGUGGUGGCUGAACCUCGAGAAGGGAAUGCACCUCCCAGCAAGAAUCUCUUGAGACAUAGGUUCAGGGUGGGCCCUAGCAACAUCAGGGUAGGCCCAGGGGCUAGAGCCAGAGAGGAGGGAAUGAACCAGGGGAGGGGAGUCUUCCUAGCACACAGAGGCAGUGUUUCUAUGAGAACACAGGCUUGCACAGGUGGCAGAGAAGGGAAGAUAAGACCUGAGAAAUACUCAGGGGUGGCAAAGUCUGGCAUGGAGGACCUUGACAAAACUGCGUCCCAUUGGUACUAUGGGAACAGGGCAGAUUCUGCAAACUGAGGAGUAGCUGGGAAGAGCAAAGUGCAAGCAUGCAGUAUGCUCCUGCCUUUAUUGUCCCAGGGCACUCUAGGAUAACACAUAUGGUGGCUAAGAGCACAGACCUGGUAGUCUGGCAAAGAUGCUGCCUUCCAUUUGUGCCAACUGUGUUCCUUCAGAUCGUUGGCUUCACCCUUACGGCCCUCAGUGUCUUCUUUGAGGUGAGCCUGUUGUGGAGCUGCUAUAGUGUCUCCCAGGUGACUGACACACAGGGGCCUGGGACCUGGAGAGGGCCAGGGCUGCACAGCUGCUGUGCUGUGGUGGUUGGUGGCUCUGCUCUUCGUGACCUUUGCUUGGUGACUUUUCCUCGAGCUCAGCUCUGAGUUCCUUGUCAAGGACACUUCUGCAUCAGGAUUCUCUCUUUCCCUGGUUAAGUCUUGUUGCUUUCAAAUGUCUGCUUUAAUAGAAUCGAACAGAAAUGAAUUCUAAAAAGACCCCGUGCCUGGGGCAGACCUCCAUUUCUCUCUGUCAAAACCCACCUUCCGAGGCCUCUGGCUGUCCCGGAGCCUCAGCCGUGUCUGCUCUCACCGAUGUCUUGCCAUGAACUUGGUCAGUCGGGUUACAAGCGACACUGCCCAUUCCCACAGUAGCUGGUGAAGGUCCCCUGGGCAAUUUGGCCGCCCAACUGUUAUCAUGCAUUAACUCUGGUCACCUGGCUCCUUGAGUGCCAGCCAGCAACAGGUAUGGAGGCCAGGGAGUUCCCUGAUGACUGCCUGUCUGCGAGCUGGAGGACCAAGAGCUCUAUCUCUUUGUCACUGUCACCAAUAGGGCAGCUUACUUCCCUUGUUAUCCACCCUGGACACGUCUGUAUUUUUAUUUGACAAAUACAUAGUGCUAAGUCUUUGCUGGGUGCUGAUAUAUUAAUCCAUUCUAUCUACAAAACAACCCAACAAGAGCAGUUACUUUAAUUAAUACCAUUUUAUAUUUUGAGAAACUGAGGUACCGAUGUAAUAACUUGGUCAACCACAUAGCUAGUAAAUUGCAGAGUCUAGAUUUAAGCUCAGACAGCAUAGGUAGAGAACCUGAAUUGUGAGGCCUCUUGCUGAAAAGGGGCUGAGCCAUAGCAUGGGGGCAAACCAAGCCCAGUGCCCACCUGCAGGACGAUCCUUCAGGGGUGAUGAGCCCACCUGAGUGUCUCUCCUACUCUGGUGCUCUCAGGUCUUCCCUCUGCUCUCCUGAGGAUGCAACCUCUGCUGCUGGCACCCCACCCCUAGCUGGGAGUGUCUCCCAGGGGGAACUAAAGCCAGGGGCACUGCAGAUCUCUCUAGGUCUCCCUCAGGAACUGCCAUCCUGCUCUUCCCUCUGGGCUUUCAUUCUCACCCGUGUGGGUUCCCAGCAGUACUUGCUGCAAGCCUUCUCUCCCCUACCCCACCCUUCCUCCUGUAGCCUCCAUCGUCACCCUCCAGUCCCCCUCCCCCACCCGAAAAAUGCAGUGUGGCAGGGGAGGAGGGCCACAGUACCAGGGUGUUCUCCUGUCUGAGACACGAACUGCUCAGCAUUUCUCCCAGGAUGCUCUAGGGCACAGGCCCUGUGAUGGGGUUUCCACGGCCUCCUUGGAUGACUUCCUUAAGGCCUGGUUGUGCUAGCCUAGCUUCUGGUCUUACUUAGUGAAUAUCACUCACUGAUUUGGCAAGAAAAAGAGCAACACUCACAGGCCUCGCCCUGCACCCCUCCCUGUCCACUCCCUCUGCAGCCUCCUCCUGGGGGUAGAAGCCCCAGCCUAGCCCAGCCCAUUGGUGCUGUACCAGUGGGGUUCAGGUCAUAGGGAGUGCCAGCUCCCACCACUCCUAUGUGAAAGUCGCCCAUCCCUGGGGAGCAGAACUCCUGUCUCUGUCUGGAUCCUACUGUGAUCCCUCAAUAGACAUUCUCGGAGCCUCUCUAAUGACCCCCCCCCACCCCCCGGGGACUGUGACCACCUUGAAGUUACUGAGCCACCAGAAAACCAGUCUCUCUGUCACAAUGCUUGUUUGUAAACUGUUUUAUAAUCUCUAUAUGAUACUCUUUCAAAAAUAAUUUACUGUGUUUUAAUUCUACUGGGAAAGUUAA